Molecule: long non-coding RNA, 220 nt
Filed under: Elaeis guineensis (African oil palm)
Lineage: Eukaryota; Viridiplantae; Streptophyta; Magnoliopsida; Arecales; Arecaceae
Description: long non-coding RNA (EGUI_LNC055911)
Source: RNAcentral
CACCAGAUGUGAAACUCAAAGGCUGCUUCAUAUAGAUAUCUUCCUCAAGAUAUCCAUAGGCCUGCAAAUGGAUCAGAUCGGAUUGGGUCUUGAGUGAUCCCGACCUGACUCAAUUUCUCGAUCAGGUCUUGAUAUUGGACCCAUACCCAUCCCAAUUAAAAAUUGGAUCGGGUCGGAUCGGGUCUAUGGUUGAAUUUAUUGACCCAUUGGAUCAUUCGGG